Molecule: ribosomal RNA, 372 nt
Filed under: uncultured organism
Description: bacterial SSU rRNA
Rfam family: Bacterial small subunit ribosomal RNA
Source: RNAcentral
CGAGGGAUCCUAGCGUUGUUCGGAAUCAUUGGGCGUAAAGCGGGUGUAGGUGGCUUGGUAAGUCGGGUGUGAAAGCCCAGGGCUCAACCCUGGAAGUGCAUUCGAUACUGCUGAGCUUGAGUGUUGGAGAGGUCAUCGGAAUACCUGGUGUAGUGGUGAAAUACGUAGAUAUCAGGUGGAACACCGGAGGCGAAGGCGGGUGACUGGCCAAACACUGACACUGAGACCCGAAAGUGUGGGGAUCAAACAGGAUUAGAUACCCUGGUAGUCCACACCGUAAACGAUGGAUACUUGCUGUUGGAGGUAUUGACCCCUUCAGUGGCGAAGCUAACGCGUUAAGUAUCCCGCCUGGGGAGUACGGUCGCAAGAUUA